Molecule: unclassified non-coding RNA, 379 nt
Filed under: Staphylococcus saccharolyticus
Lineage: Bacteria; Bacillati; Bacillota; Bacilli; Caryophanales; Staphylococcaceae
Description: 16S-23S ribosomal RNA intergenic spacer
Source: RNAcentral
AAGGAUAUAUUCGGAAUAUCUUCGUAGAAGAUGAGGAAUAACGUGACAUAUUGUAUUCAGUUUUGAAUGUUUAUUAUCAUUCAAGUGAAAAUAAUUUCAAAAUUAGGCUAAUGAAAACGACAACGUUACAAAUGCUUGACUUGAAAUUAGACAUUGUACAUUGAAAACUAGAUAAGUAAGUAAAGAUUUUACCAAGCAAAACCGAGUGAAUAGAGUUUUAAAUAAGCUUGAAUUCAUAAAUAAUCGCUAGUGUUCGAAAGAACACUCACAAGAUUAAUAACGUGUUUUUGUUUUAAACUUUAAAAGAAAUCGUUUUUCAGGUAACGAAUGGAAACGAAGCCAUAUGAAAGCGAUUGACUUAAAGUUGAGCGAAAACAGA